RNAcentral lists this microRNA precursor (93 nucleotides) under Marmota monax (woodchuck). Lineage: Eukaryota; Metazoa; Chordata; Mammalia; Rodentia; Sciuridae. The record is from RNAcentral.
GAGUGCCUUGCUCAGGAUCAUGGUGCUGGUAGUAAAUGGUAGUAAAUGGUAGAGCUCUGCCAUUUACUACCAGCACCAUGAUCCUGAGCAAGG